AUUGAUUUGAAUUUCAUAUUUUGUGAUUGAAUAUACCAUUGGGGUUUAGGUUGCAAUGUGAUUUUGAUUUGCAAUUUUUUUUCCCUAUUGGGUCUUGUGGUUAGUGCUUUGAUAUGGAUGUUUGGCUGUGGGAUUGGGGUUCAAAAAAAAUUGGGGUUUUUGUUUUUGGUUGAUUGUGAAUCCAUAAGUAUUUUUUGAUUUGGGAUUUUCAGAGUUGGGUAUGUAUAUUGCUUGUGCUCAUUUGGCUAUAGGUUUGGGUUUGUGCUUGUGUUUGAAAGGUGGGUUUUAUGUUGACCCAGAGGCGAAGCUCCUGUUUAUCAUUCGCAUUCGUGGUAUCAAUGCCAUGCACCUAAAGACUAGAAAGAUCUUGCAGCUCUUGCGUUUGAGACAGGUAUUACAUGAAACUCACCCCUUAUGGUACUAUAAAAUGGCAUCUGGUUAUUGUAGUUUUUAUUUAUGUUUUUGUGUUGGUCAUGACGGUAAAUAUAUCCUUUUGAAGGCUAAGGCAGGUUCAGACUAUUUGCUUAUUGUACUGGGUAGUUUUCGUAAAAGUACUCGUUUUUAAAGCUAUUUAAGUUUAAGCUCCUUGGGUCAUUGUCUAGAAAUCUUUGAGGCAAAGCUCAAACAUCUAGUGUCAAGGUGUUUGGGUGUAAGCACCUUUUUUAUUUUGACCUUUUAGAACUUUAUAUAAGCAUUAAGUACACAUUAUUUCUAGUAGGUUUACUGCUGAAUAGUUUGAAACUUGAAGCCCUUUGUUGUGAGUGUUAUGAAAAGCUAAUCUAAAACUAUGCCUGAUUCUUUUAUUCUGAAUGCUGGGACAUGCCUGAUUCUUUUAUUCUUUUAAUCUGAAACCAUGAUAAGCUAACUGACACUGAAUGCUGAAACUUGGCCCACGUAUUUGGUCAUCAAAGGUAAGUUUCAAUUGCAUUGAAUUCAGCCCAAUAUUUUAAAGAAAAUUAAACAGAGGCAUCAUUCGUGGCCGCCACCUCGCCUCCAUUAAUGACCAGUCGCCUCUUGCUUUCUCCGCUGGAAACGUCACUCUCCUCAGUAAUUCUUUGGGAUUGAGAUAUUUUUGGUUCCCGAUAAGAGAAAGAGUUGUUUUUUAGUGGCCAGUUGUAUUAUUACACAGGCAGUGAUUUGUUCGGGAUACCAUGUGAUUGUCAGAAAAAUGGUUGCAUAAAGGCCUUAUAGUCAUCAUCUGGAGCGGGGUAUGUUGAGUUAAACACAAAUUCUUCAUAGCAGGGAUGGGUUCUGGACAUUGGUUUAAGACGAUAAUUGGCUCAAAGAAAGGGAAGCGUGGCAGUUCAAAACAAGUAAAGGUCUACUUGCUUCUUUUGUAACUUGGAUCAGCCAAAUGCCACAGUUCGUUCUAGAGUCAGAAAUCCCAAAGGUAUUGACACAAAACCCAAUCUUUAUCUUCUUUUUACAAGAAUGCUUGAUUUUUUUUUUUUUUUUUAAUAAAAAUUUUAUUUACCACUUUAUUGGCUUACACUUUCACAACUUAAAAAAAUUGUGUAAAGAAAAACUAUGUUGGUUUUAUAGUGAGAAAAAGUGAUAAGAAUAAUUGCUGCACUUUUUUUUUCUCGUGUGUUUGAAUCUCAUUGGUUUGUGAGUAGUGGGAAAAAAAAGUAGAUCAAUUUGGAAGUUACAACAAUCUGUAAAUAAUUGCCAGAAAGAAUAAGAUAAAAAUUAUGAUCAUAGACUAACUUAGAAAUAAUGUGCAAAACUCUCAAUUUUUGUGAGUUCCACUUAUUAAAAUAAGAAAUAAAAACAUUUUGAGUAGAUAAUGUGAAAUGCAAUUUGCAUGUUAUUGCAAACAAAUCAUUAUAGAUAAGCAGUUAACCAUACAUGAAGGACCAUAUGUAUCAAAUUUAUUUAUUUAUUUUUUGCUGUAUUAGGUUGCAUUUUGUUCAUUGUUGUGCUCCUAAUGUCUUAGUGGAGCUAAAA
Quercus lobata is the source of this 1947-nucleotide long non-coding RNA. RefSeq lists it as uncharacterized. The record is from RefSeq and is a predicted model, not a curated record. NCBI's taxonomy places the organism in Eukaryota, Viridiplantae, Streptophyta, Magnoliopsida, Fagales, Fagaceae. The transcript has 6 exons.